UCAUACUCCGGGACAACGACGACGACGACGACGACGACGACAUGGCGAACCGAACGACCGACCACCGGACGUCCAUUGAAUAGUGUGUUAAUGUUAAUAUAUUUAUGAAACUUUGAAGUCUUAGAGAAAAAUGAAGAACAUAAUAGAAAGAGUUCAGUGGAAAUCUAAGCUUUUUGAUACAAUAAUCUUAGUCCAAGCUACAAGGACCCAAGUUAAAUAUUGAUACAGACAUACAGCCGGUUGGUUCUCAGGAGUAUUGAGUAUGAACAAUGAAUACACUUCAAAUUUAACUACAGAGAUGCAUUACUCAAAAUGGAUGAAGAUGAAAUGAUGAACUGAUUACACUUACUUUCAACAUCAGUGAAGAAUCAAAUUUAGGUUUAAUAUAGUUCAGCAAAAAUCAAAAAUUCAUUUGGUUUAUUUUGAUUUCAUAAUUUUUAGUUAUGUUUUUAUAAUAACUCCUGAUUUGUAUAACCUAACAGAAUCAAACUAAAAUUAUUCUUAGGUAUAUUUAAACAUAAGACAAAUGUUCAUUAAUGUGUUUUUCAAAAUAACUAUCACGUUCAUAUAUGUAUAAAAUUCAGCCUUGAAAACAUAAAAAUUACAGAUUAUAAGAUACUAAUUUUUUGUGUUAGUAAUAAUAAAAAAAAUUAAACCUCUACGACCAUUUAAA
Long non-coding RNA from Myzus persicae (green peach aphid), 673 nucleotides. RefSeq lists it as uncharacterized. NCBI's taxonomy places the organism in Eukaryota, Metazoa, Arthropoda, Insecta, Hemiptera, Aphididae. The transcript is spliced from 4 exons. The record is from RefSeq and is a predicted model, not a curated record.